CGGCAAGAGCUCAAAUUUGAAAGCUGGCCCCCUCGGGGUCCGCAUUGUAAUUUGCAGAGGAUGCUUCGGGAGUGGCCCCCAUCUAAGUGCUCUGGAACGGGACGCCAUAGAGGGUGAGAGCCCCGU
This 126-nucleotide ribosomal RNA is filed under the name Penicillium sp. RNAcentral's name for it is "partial large subunit ribosomal RNA". It matches the Rfam family "Eukaryotic large subunit ribosomal RNA", at positions 99 to 224 of the family's 3401-position model. Lineage: Eukaryota; Fungi; Ascomycota; Eurotiomycetes; Eurotiales; Aspergillaceae. The record is from RNAcentral.